Aegilops tauschii subsp. strangulata is the source of this 1751-nucleotide long non-coding RNA. RefSeq lists it as uncharacterized. The record is from RefSeq and is a predicted model, not a curated record. Lineage: Eukaryota; Viridiplantae; Streptophyta; Magnoliopsida; Poales; Poaceae.
GUUAAACUUUUCUUUGCAACUUGCGAGUACAUUCCACGUACUCACCUGCACCUGUCAUGUGCAGAUCUCAACAGAUUAAGAGACAAUAGGGUUAUGGUCUACACUCAACGAUCCCAGUGGCAUUGAUGGAGCCCUAACUUAGCGACUACGUAUAAUUCCGCUGUAUUAUGUGCCAGCAUUGAGCUGUGCUAAUGCUAAGUUAUACAGACGAUCGGGGAGGUCAACUUUGAGCUGCAGCCCUCUAUGUGUUCACGCAAUUGGAACGCCCGAAAUAUCACGCCAAUAUGAGGGACGCCCGAAAUAUCAAGCCAAUAUGUGAUUUAUGCCUUUUCUGUUAGGGGAAGCCAUGGUGUCCACAAGGCUCAAGCAAGUCGGAUUUCUGAUGGAUUUUAAAUGAUCAAGACAACCUAAGUGGCUCUUUGCUUGGCCACCAUUGCCAAUAUUUAUGGAGCAGUUUUCAAAUGUGCAAAUGUCCAACCCAUUAAAACACCCUCUUAGGUUCAUAGGGAGAACCAGGCAACACCAGAAAACUGAAGCUUCCUACUUUCCAACUGUUGAUUGCACAUGUACAUGUAUAAAAGACACUAUCUAAGACAAAUAUAUGAUUCACCAGGUUUAGUGAAAGUUAGCUUAAAUACCAUGUAUUUUUCUGCACACAGAUUAUUGCCUACUGUAGAUCAUCCUCCGUACAUAUGUUAGUCUAAUAGUCAAGCAAGACCAAAAACUUCACUCCAGUAAUGCCUUUGCUCCAUAAGAGCUAACAAUUGUUAAAAAAAACAAAUCACAAACUAAUGAUUUCAUUUGUUUGCAGGAAUAGGCACUGUAUUUUUCACUAUUAUGCAAAAACAACUUUAAGUCAUGAUUUUUUAAAAUAUUUUUUUCAUGAAAGAUCUCGAGGGUGAGAAAAUUAUCAUCAUAUUCAGAAGAAUAUUAGCUUGAGUACCAUAUAGAGGGUGACAAAAGUGGGGCUCUUACGUCAAUUUUCUUAUUCAGGUGGUACACUACGUGUAGCAAACUCAUUCACUGUAAAGAAAUGAAUGGUAUCGUUUCUCAUGCCAUGGAAGUAUGGUCUGAAGUUGCCUUACUCUUAGGACUUUUUGUCAACAUCUAUGAGCUGACUAGCAAAAUUCUGGCAACUGCAGUCACAUCAGGCAUAAUACAACGCGUAGGGCCAUCACCUAGCUCCAUAAAUCUUAAUCUCAUUUCCAGUGAUUGUUGCUUUGCUAUCUUAGUCAUUGAUGAUGAAGGAAUGUAGAAACCACAUGUUGGGUACAAUAUUUAACCAUACAAUUUCUGCUAGAAGCCAUCAUAAUCCACGCCUCCCUCCUAUUUUUCUUACAGCAAACCAAUAGAUAUCAACUAACCACAAGCUUAGCCUGUGGUAUAUUGCAUAAAUAUCUAGCUUAUGGAAAGCCUGGUAAGUGGAGCAAUGGAGCAAAUGGAGCGCCUUCUAACUAGCAGUGCCCACUUCACUGUUCUGUACAUAGAUGAGAAGUCUGCUUGCUGCCACUCAUCUAAUAUUAUAUGUUUCUGUUCCAUGUGGAACUAAGAGGUCACAUAUCUAGCUUCUACUGCUUUGUUGUUGUACACAGAAGCUUUUGUAACCUGCCACCACAUUUGUAGGCAGGUUUCGAUAAAAGUAUUAGAUUACAUUUUUCCACAUCAAUCCAGUAUUCAGUAACGGGUUUUUGGUUCUAUUUCUAUUGCAAACCAGUUCAUUCUUCGCAAACAAGAAACUCUACAUGCUGUGG